This 74-nucleotide transfer RNA is filed under the name Datura stramonium (jimsonweed). Its description in RNAcentral is "tRNA-Gly". The stretch from base 8 to 63 matches the Rfam family "tRNA", at positions 8 to 63 of the family's 71-position model. Rfam says of the family: Transfer RNA (tRNA) molecules are approximately 80 nucleotides in length. The record is from RNAcentral. Lineage: Eukaryota; Viridiplantae; Streptophyta; Magnoliopsida; Solanales; Solanaceae.
GAAUCAGUGGUCUAGUGGUAGAAUAGUACCCUGCCACGGUACAGACCCGGGUUCGAUUCCUGGGCUGGCACUCA